Molecule: unclassified non-coding RNA, 305 nt
Filed under: plant metagenome
Description: partial contains 5.8S ribosomal RNA, internal transcribed spacer 2, and large subunit ribosomal RNA
Rfam family: 5.8S ribosomal RNA (bases 1-105)
Source: RNAcentral
GAAAUGCGAUAAGUAAUGUGAAUUGCAGAAUUCAGUGAAUCAUCGAAUCUUUGAACGCACAUUGCGCCCGCCAGUAUUCUGGCGGGCAUGCCUGUUCGAGCGUCAUUUCAACCAUCAAGCCCCGGGCUUGUGUUGGGGACCUGCGGCUGCCGCAGGCCCUGAAAACCAGUGGCGGGCUCGCUGUCACACCGAGCGUAGUAGAUUCUCAUCUCGCUCAGGGCGUGCUGCGGGUCCCGGCCGUAAAACAGCCUUAUUUUACCCAAGGUUGACCUCGGAUCAGGUAGGAAGACCCGCUGAACUUAAGC